Molecule: long non-coding RNA, 375 nt
Filed under: Salmo salar (Atlantic salmon)
Lineage: Eukaryota; Metazoa; Chordata; Actinopteri; Salmoniformes; Salmonidae
Description: lncRNA (ENSSSAG00000092163.1)
Source: RNAcentral
CCUUCUUCAGAGCAGCGCGAACCAACUGCCUCUGACCAGGUGAGACGGUUCCGUCCCUCUCCUGCCUCUGACCAGGUGAGACGGUUCCGUCCCUCUCCUGCCUCUGACCAGGUGAGACGGUUCCGUCCCUCUCCUGCCUCUGACCAGGUGAGACGGUUCCGUCCCUCUCCUGCCUCUGACCAGGUGAGACGGUUCCGUCCCUCUGCUGCCUCUGACCAGGUGAGACGGUUCCGUCCCUCUCCUGCCUCUGACCAGGUGAGACGGUUCCGUCCAUCUCCUGCCCACUGACCAGCUCCCACACCUGUUAAACAAUCAGUCAAUCAAAUGUAUCGAUAAAGCAGUUUUUAGAUCAAAAGAGUGAGAAUAAGGGGUUUU